UGCGGGGCAGUGCUAGCUGUGUCUGCCGAGGGAGGGGGCGGCGGCAUCGGAGGGGCGCAGGGGCUGGGGAUGUGGAGGGAGGAAGAUGAAAGGUUGGGGGAGGGUGACGAUGUUAUUGACACGACACAGGCACAAAGGGAGAGGGUGGCGGUCUCAAAGGGGGCGUGAGUGGGGAGUAGCUGGCAUCGGGAAGUGAUGGAUGCAGAGAUCGACUGGAGGUGGGGGCGGGGAUGUUGGAAGCUUGGAAACGUCAGAGUUGGAGAGUUGGAGGGGCGAGGUUGGGGGUUUGGAGGAGGGACCGUUGGCAGGAUUGGAAGGAAAUUGGCAAGGAAAGUGGCUGAAUCCUGAGCCUGGCAGGACUGGGGGCGGAUUGGAAGGAAAGGGGUACAAAUGUGGCUUUCCCCUGGCAGGGCUGGGAGUGAAGCUGUGCAGCUCAGCGCCGGUGUUUGCGACUGUGGGUUGGUGUGUACGGCCUUGGAGGCGAGGGGAAGGCAUCGGGACUGACCCAUGGUGGGGACCCGGCCUUACUCCGCUUCCCUCCCUUAGCCACCAUGUUCAACCAGCAGCAGCAGCAGCAGUUCCAGCAGCAGCAGCUGCAGCAGCAGCAAUUGCUGCAGCUUCAGCAGCUGCUGCAGCAGCCCCCACCACAGGCCCCCUUGCCCAUGGCUGUCAGCAGGGGCCUCCCCCAGCAGCAGCCCCAGCAGCAGCUUCUGAGUCUCCAGGGGACCCACUCGGCCUCCUUCCUCAAUGGCUCCAUGCUCCAGAGAGCUUUGCUUUUGCAGCAGUUACAAGGUAUGACUCAGGCCCCUUUGCAUCCUGUGUGGACACUGGCUCCCCAGCAAGCCAAGCACUCAGUCUCACCAAAUCACAGUGACCCUGAGAGUGCCCUGACUCACAGUUAAGGACACCCAGGCUCCAGGGGUUGAAAGACUCUAAGCUGCUCAGCUGAAUGCAGGUCCAUCUGCAGACAGACUGAGGAGUGCCCUGGGCCAUGACGCUGGCUCUCUGGGCAGUGCUCCAUAUACCUCACUGACAUUCAGAUUAGAUGCCAUCUGGCCAAUGCGGAAGCUGAGAAAGUAAGUCCCUUGCCCUAGGUCACACAGCACACCAGCAGUGGCCCAGCUAGACCUCCUAAGCAGUGGGCCUUGAGCAUUAAGGCUGUGCCCUUGCCUCAGUGUCCCCAUAUGGAAAACAGUGUCAGCUCUUCCUUCCAGGCUGCUGCUCCUGAUACUACUGAUGACCCCAAGGGAAGGUACACCAACAACCCUAAUGAAAACACUGAGGCCCAGAAAGGGAUCAUGUGCCCAAGAUGAUCCUGCACAACAGGCAGGAGCUGACUGGAUGGUCACCUCUCGUCAGCUUUGCCAGGGCCUCAUGAGUGUGGAUAGUCCUGGAAGCUGACACUGACUUCCACAUGACAGCUGUAUAUGAGAAUGGACCCCAGACACAAGGACCCCCAGUGUAUACACAGAUAUUCUCUCUCUCUCUCUCUCUCUCUCACACACACACACACACACACAUUUUUUUUUCAGUACUGUAUUGAACCCAGGCCCUUGCAGGUGCUGGGCAAGAAUUCCACCACUAAACUAUGUGCCUAACCCUAUUUCCCCCUUUUACUUUUGCAUAUUAAAAGUCACACUUUUCAAAGAGAAAAAUAACAUGUUAAAAAAAAGGGCGGGGAGGUGGGAAAACCGAAACUUGUGGAAUUGUAUAGGACUACUGUGAUUGACAUAAGUGAGAGGCUGGGUGUUAUUUCUUUUUUACUGAAUAGAACAGCAUGAUCUUUAACCAUAUAAUUUGACAUUCUCUGCCAAAGCCGUUUUAACAGCUGUAUAAUAUUUCAUCGAAGGGACGUGCCCUUGCUUACCUAAGUCUUCUCAGCUGUUCUUUUUUC
Molecule: long non-coding RNA, 1894 nt
Organism: Ictidomys tridecemlineatus (thirteen-lined ground squirrel)
Lineage: Eukaryota; Metazoa; Chordata; Mammalia; Rodentia; Sciuridae
Source: Ensembl